AUAUUCAACAGCAUAGUGAAUUGCUCUAAGAGAAAAAAAAUUUUAAGUUCAUUAGAACACAUUCAUUCUGUGUCAGAAACCUAUGCUGUGUCAACUAUUUAAUCACAAUCCAAAUUUAGAGCUGAAUCCAGCUUGAAUGUUGUGUCCAUACUUGCCCCAACCGUUCAGGGUUCAACCUCUGCGGUCGUAUAAAGCUACGCCCUGCGGAGCAUCUGGUUGUCUUUGGGUUGAUUUCUUUUUUAAAGAUAUCACAUAUCUCGUUUUGUUCAGAUCGACUUAUAUUUUCUUUAUUUAUAAAAAGAAGGAUCUGCAAUGAGAUGAAACUUUGGAGCUUGGAGACAAGGGGAUGAAAAGAAAGAAAUGGAUAGAAACAAGUGAAAUUUUCAGAGGAAAGGAUGAUGAAAGAAAGAAGAAAAGGGACUGGGUAUGCGAGAGACAGAAAUAUAUAUCGUAAACGGGAAGAACGAGAAAAUUGAAAGAAAAAAGAUAAAUCUAUCUCGGUUCAUUAUAAAUACCACAUGUUUGUGUUUUCUUGUAUUUAGAUUUAACAAACAUUUUUGUACAUAUUUUGCUCAGAUAUAUAAUGUUUAUUAUUUUAUUUCUUGUGCUUCACAAAUUUUUAACUCAUUGAAUAU
Molecule: long non-coding RNA, 635 nt
Filed under: Mytilus galloprovincialis (Mediterranean mussel)
Lineage: Eukaryota; Metazoa; Mollusca; Bivalvia; Mytilida; Mytilidae
Source: RNAcentral